CACUAAUGACCCCACUAACAUAGUAAAGUCAACUAAUUACUCCAUCAAGUACUCCAAUUUAUUGUCACCAGCCACCAAUAUAGUAAAGUCACCUAAUUACUCCACCAAUUACUCUCACUCCAAUUUAUUGCCAUCAAUUUACUGCCACCAACUUGCUAUAUUUCAUUUUGUUUCUUCUUCUUCCUUGGAUUUUCGCAGAAACAUGGUUCUGCUUCUUCUUCUUCCAUCUACUCCUUUCUUUUUUUUUUUUUUUUUA
This 256-nucleotide unclassified non-coding RNA is filed under the name Hevea brasiliensis (rubber tree). The record is from RNAcentral. Lineage: Eukaryota; Viridiplantae; Streptophyta; Magnoliopsida; Malpighiales; Euphorbiaceae.